UGUUCCAGCUGCCCUCCCUAUAAAAAAUUCCAGAAAUAGAAGUUUCUUGAAUCUUCAACAACAACAUUUACAGUUUGUUUUUGGAAAAUCUCUGCUGUUGUUUGAGAUCAGCAUCGAAUGAGAGAUGAGAGGAUUAAUAGAUUCUAAAGAUGGAGGAGACUUUGCUCCAGGAGGAAGAGGAGCUUUGUGUGAUGUUGGAGUAUAACGUCUGUCUAUCGGACCUAGAUGUAAAGAUGUUGUUAUAAAGAUUUUAUAUAGGAAAAAUGAUUAAUAUUUGUUUUAAAAUGUUUGUGAUAUGUUAAUUUUUGAAUUUUAUGUGUUUUAUCUAGUCAAAAAGUUAUCUAUUUAUAUCAAGGUUUUUUAAACAAAAUGACAUAAACUCCUUAGUGUGGGCACGGGCCAUGAUUAUUUUCUUGCUUUUUUCUGUACCGAAAACACGUUUA
This is a non-coding RNA of Ciona intestinalis (vase tunicate), 443 nucleotides long. Lineage: Eukaryota; Metazoa; Chordata; Ascidiacea; Phlebobranchia; Cionidae. The record is from RefSeq and is a predicted model, not a curated record.